Molecule: long non-coding RNA, 1463 nt
Filed under: Homo sapiens (human)
Lineage: Eukaryota; Metazoa; Chordata; Mammalia; Primates; Hominidae
Description: HSALNT0204836
Source: RNAcentral
CUUUAUCUCAUUUUAUAGUGUUUGACUGGAAGUCUAUUUUAUUUGACAUGAGUAUAGCUACUCCUGCUCUGCUCUGGUUUCCACAUGCAUGGAAAAUAUGUUUCCAUUGUUUUACUUUCAUUCUACGUUUGCUCUUACAGAGGAAGUGAGUUUCUUAUGGACAGUAUAUAAAGAGGUCCUGUUUGGGUCUUGUUGUUGUUUAUAGUGGUUAUUGCUUCUAUGUGUGUUUUUCAAAUCUAUUCAGCCUAUGCCUUUUGAUUGGGAAAUGCGAUCUAUUUACAUUCAAGCUUAAAUAAUUACCUCAAGCAUAUCUUAUAAAACAGGUCUGAGAUUGAAAAGCUCCCUCAGUUUUUGUUUGUCUGGAACCGACUUUAUUUCUUCUUCAUUUCUAAAGGGCAGCUCUGCCAGGUGAGAAACAACAUUGGAUGGUUUCAGAGAUACUGCCUGUUACUUACUGUUUGCAGUCAAUAUGGUUAAGAAUUCAAAGCACAAGGAACAAUUAUCAAAUAUAUUAUUUGAAAUAUAGAAGUAAAAGUUACAAGGAAUGUAAAAAUAUCAAAUAAUGUAUUAUCUGCAUAGCAAAAAUAGAAGAGUACAACAAAUGGCUGCUGUAUUUUAUUUUAAAGCUUCCUGGUAAUAUUUUAUCCUAAAGGUAUGUAUAUUAUUAUGUUAAUAAAAAUAAAUAAAUAUCUUAGGUUGAAAUAUAUAUUUAUGAAGAUUCAUAGGGUAUACUAUAUUCUGGGCAAAUUUCAAUAAAAAGAAACCAUGCCUGACAGAGUUUUCAAUUAUUGAAGAAAUAUCACUUUAUUCUAAAUCACAGUGAUAGGAAUUAAAAUUAAGAACUUAAGAAUAACAAAGCCUUAGAAUAAAAUUACAUCCAAAGAGCUUUGAAUUAAUUCUAAAAUAAAUGGCUCAACCUUUUAUGUAAAUCUUAUUUAAUAAAUAUAUACAUAAAUAAAUAUUCCAGACAGAGAUAAUAUAGCAAGAAUAAAACCACAAAGACCAUAAAAAUUUGGCUCUAAAUAUUCACAGAUGAUGAAAAAUAAAAGUAUAAUAAAUACCUUGUUGCAUAAAGGAUGAAAUAAAACAAUUUUUCAAACUUGACUCUAUAAAUUUAAUAAAUAAACUUUAAAGGAUAGUUAAUUUUGUAAGGAGCCAGUAGUAGAAUUUAAAAGAAAAAGUAUGUCUCCCCGAAAAGAAUGAGGAAGAGCAAAGUGAGAUUUAAUAAAAGGCAAAACAUGUAAUAAAAGGCAGAACGUGUAAUAAAAGGCAAAACAUAAAAAACAUUCACAUUUUACAUAUGUGUGUAUGCAUAUGUAUAUACAUAUAAUUUUGUUGUUUUCGAUUAUUCUAUAUGUCUGCAAGCAUAUGAAAUAUAAGCCAAUUUAUGAUGAUGAAAUAACAAACAUAACAAGUUAUUCUAGAUACAUGAGCUAUACUACAAAAUAAAAAUAAAAACAAAU